This 253-nucleotide ribosomal RNA is filed under the name uncultured bacterium. RNAcentral's name for it is "partial 16S ribosomal RNA". It matches the Rfam family "Bacterial small subunit ribosomal RNA", at positions 524 to 776 of the family's 1533-position model. The record is from RNAcentral.
AACGUAGGACACGAGCGUUGUCCGGAAUCAUUGGGCGUAAAGCGCGUGUAGGCGGUCCGGUAAGUCCGCUGUGAAAGUCGAGGGCUCAACCCUCGAAUGCCGGUGGAUACUGUCGGGCUUGAGUACGGGAGAGGCGAGUGGAAUUCCUGGUGUAGCGGUGAAAUGCGCAGAUAUCAGGAGGAACACCAAUUGCGAAGGCAGCUCGCUGGGACGUCACUGACGCUGAGACGCGAAAGCGUGGGGAGCAAACAGG